This 253-nucleotide ribosomal RNA is filed under the name uncultured bacterium. RNAcentral's name for it is "partial 16S ribosomal RNA". It matches the Rfam family "Bacterial small subunit ribosomal RNA", at positions 524 to 776 of the family's 1533-position model. The record is from RNAcentral.
UACGUAGGGGGCUAGCGUUGUCCGGAAUCAUUGGGCGUAAAGAGCGUGUAGGCGGCCCGGUAAGUCCGCUGUGAAAGUCGGGGGCUCAACCCUCGAAUGCCGGUGGAUACUGUCGGGCUAGAGUGCGGGAGAGGCGAGUGGAAUUCCUGGUGUAGCGGUGAAAUGCGCAGAUAUCAGGAGGAACACCAAUUGCGAAGGCAGCUCGCUGGAACGUAACUGACGCUGAGACGCGAAAGCGUGGGGAGCAAACAGG